RNAcentral lists this ribosomal RNA (406 nucleotides) under uncultured bacterium. RNAcentral describes it as "partial 16S ribosomal RNA". It matches the Rfam family "Bacterial small subunit ribosomal RNA", at positions 30 to 526 of the family's 1533-position model. The record is from RNAcentral.
AUUGAACGCUGGCGGCAGGCCUAACACAUGCAAGUCGAGCGAGCGGCGGACGGGUGAGUACUGUCUGGGAAACUGCCUGAUGGAGGGGCAUAACUACUGGAAACGGUUGCUAAUACCGCAUACCAUCCGAUUUCCCCAGACGGGAUUAGCUAGUAGGUGGGGUAACGGCUCACCUAGUCGACGAUCCCUAGCUGGUCUGAGCGGAUGACCAGCCACACUGGAACUGAGACACGGUCCAGACUCCUACGGGAGGCAGAAGUGGGGAAUAUUGGACAAUGGGCGCAAGCCUGAUGGAGCCAUGCCGCGUGUGUGAAGAAGGCCUUCGGGUUGUAAAGCACUUUCGGUGGGGAGGCGUUACCCGAAGAAAAAGCAACGGCUAACUCCGUGCCAGCAGCCGCGGUAAUAC